This 253-nucleotide ribosomal RNA is filed under the name uncultured bacterium. Its description in RNAcentral is "partial 16S ribosomal RNA". It matches the Rfam family "Bacterial small subunit ribosomal RNA", at positions 524 to 776 of the family's 1533-position model. The record is from RNAcentral.
UACGUAGGGGGCAAGCGUUGUCCGGAUUUAUUGGGCGUAAAGAGCGUGUAGGCGGCCAGACAGGUCCGUUGUGAAAACUCGAGGCUCAACCUCGAGAUGUCGAUGGAAACCGUCUGGCUAGAGUCCGGAAGAGGAGAGUGGAAUUCCUGGUGUAGCGGUGAAAUGCGCAGAUAUCAGGAAGAACACCUAUGGCGAAGGCAGCUCUCUGGGACGGUACUGACGCUGAGACGCGAAAGCGUGGGGAGCGAACAGG